Molecule: small nuclear RNA, 107 nt
Filed under: Microtus ochrogaster (prairie vole)
Lineage: Eukaryota; Metazoa; Chordata; Mammalia; Rodentia; Cricetidae
Source: RNAcentral
GUGCUACCUUCAGGAGCACAUGUACUACAGCUAGAAUGUUAUAGAGAUGAUCAGCAAGUCUCUUGUACAAGGAAGACCCCCAAAUUUGUAAAAUGUUCCAUAUUUUC